RNAcentral lists this ribosomal RNA (1113 nucleotides) under uncultured organism. RNAcentral's name for it is "bacterial SSU rRNA". It matches the Rfam family "Bacterial small subunit ribosomal RNA", at positions 189 to 1336 of the family's 1533-position model. The record is from RNAcentral.
UCGGUUCAUCGAGUAAAGCUCCGGCGCUUCGGGAGAGGCCUGCGGCCCAUCAGCUAGUUGGUAGGGUAACGGCCUACCAAGGCAGAGACGGGUAGGGGGCGUGAGAGCGCGGACCCCCACACUGGCACUGAGAUACGGGCCAGACUCCUACGGGAGGCAGCAGUAAGGGAUAUUGCGCAAUGGACGAAAGUCAGACGCAGCGACGCCGCGUGGGCGAUGAAGGCCUUCGGGUUGUAAAGCCCUUUUAUGGGGGAAGAGAAAAAGGACGGUACCCCAGGAAUAAGUCCCGGCUAACUACGUGCCAGCAGCCGCGGUAAAACGUAGGGGACAAGCGUUAUCCGGAUUCACUGGGCGUAAAGAGCGUUGAGGCGGUUCCGUAAGUUGGGCGUGAAAGCUCCGGGCUUAACUCGGAGAUGUCGUUCAAUACUGCGGGGCUUGAGGACAGCAGAGGAAGGUGGAAUUCCCGGUGUAGUGGUGAAAUGCGUAGAUAUCGGGAGGAACACCCGUGGCGAAGGCGGCCUUCUGGGCUGUUCCUGACGCUGAAGGCGAAAGCUAGGGGAGCGAACGGGAUUAGAUACCCCGGUAGUCCUAGCUGUAAACGAUGGAUGCUGGGUGUGGGGGGUGUAAAUUCCCUCUGUGCCGAAGCAAACGCGUUAAGCAUCCCGCCUGGGGACUACGGCCGCAAGGCUAAAACUCAAACGAAUUGACGGGGGCCCGCACAAGCAGCGGAGCGUGUGGUUUAAUUCGAUGCUACACGAAGAACCUUACCUGGGUUUGACAUGCACGUGGUAGGGAACCGAAAGGGGACCGACCUUCGGGAGCGUGCACAGGUGCUGCAUGGCUGUCGUCAGCUCGUGCCGUGAGGUGUCGGGUUAAGUCCCGUAACGAGCGCAACCCUUGCCCUUAGUUACAAGUGUCUAAGGGGACUGCCCGGGACAACUGGGCGGCAGGUGGGGAUGACGUCAAGUCAGCAUGGCCUUUAUAUCCAGGGCUACACACACGCUACAAUGGCCGGUACGAUAGGUUGCGAAGUCGUGAGGCGGAGCCAAUCCUCAAAGCCGGUCUCAGUUCGAAUUGCAGUCUGCAACUCGACUGCAUGAAGCUGGAGUUGCU